AUUGAACGCUGGCGGCAGGCCUAACACAUGCAAGUCGAACGGUAACAGGAAGAAGCUUGCUUCUUUGCUGACGAGUGGCGGACGGGUGAGUAAUGUCUGGGAAACUGCCUGAUGGAGGGGGAUAACUACUGGAAACGGUAGCUAAUACCGCAUAACGUCGCAAGACCAAAGAGGGGGACCUUCGGGCCUCUUGCCAUCGGAUGUGCCCAGAUGGGAUUGGCUAGUAGGUGGGGUAACGGCUCACCUAGGCGACGAUCCCUAGCUGGUCUGAGAGGAUGACCAGACACACUGGAACUGAGACACGGUCCAGACUCCUACGGGAGGCAGCAGUGGGGAAUAUUGAACAAUGGGCGCAAGCCUGAUGCAGACAUGCCGCGUGUAUGAAGAAGGCCUUCGGGUUGUAAAGUACUUUCAGCGAGGAGGAAGGGAGUAAAGUUAAUACCUUUGCUAAUUGACGUUACCCGCAGAAGAAGCACCGGCUAACUCCGUG
This 490-nucleotide ribosomal RNA is filed under the name uncultured bacterium. RNAcentral describes it as "partial 16S ribosomal RNA". It matches the Rfam family "Bacterial small subunit ribosomal RNA", at positions 30 to 507 of the family's 1533-position model. The record is from RNAcentral.